CUUGUCUGGAGUUUAUUGUAACAAGUUUUUGGCUGUAGACUACAAAAUGGGAGAGUGGCUGUGGUGGACCGUUGGCUUGAUCUAAGCCUCAGGAUUUUGA
Poecilia latipinna (sailfin molly) is the source of this 100-nucleotide long non-coding RNA. RefSeq lists it as uncharacterized. The transcript has 3 exons. The record is from RefSeq and is a predicted model, not a curated record. Lineage: Eukaryota; Metazoa; Chordata; Actinopteri; Cyprinodontiformes; Poeciliidae.